Piliocolobus tephrosceles (Ugandan red Colobus) is the source of this 1169-nucleotide long non-coding RNA. The record is from Ensembl. NCBI's taxonomy places the organism in Eukaryota, Metazoa, Chordata, Mammalia, Primates, Cercopithecidae.
ACAUUAUUAUUUUAUUACAUUAUUAUUAUAUUUUUUUUUUUUUUUUUUAAUGUUGUUGUUUCGGUAAAAACAAAACUAUAAAAUUAUUUAUUGUCCUUUUAUAAAAAAAUUAAUUUUAUUAAUAUUUCUUUUUGUUUAUAUGUACUUUUUUUUUUUUUUUUUUUUUUAUAUACAUCAUUUGCAUUUUUCAGGUUUUUCAUAUUUUAUAAUAAAUUUAAAAUCAUUUUAAAAUAGAUAAAAUGUAUCAAAGAUAUACGUUUUUAUUAUAACAUAAGUAUAUUAAAGCCUUUUUUUCAUUCUUUUUUUUUAUAAGUUAACAUUAAAAAAAUUAACUUUUUAAUUUUUUCUAAAUAUAAAAAAAACUAAAAGUAUAUUUUUAUUUACUUAUAAAAACUAUUUGAAAUAAAAAUUUUGAAAUAGAAACCCACAUAUUGGUUUAGGUAUAUAUAGUUAGAUAUAUAACUAAGCUGUUAGAUAAAUAAUUAGUUAGGUAGUUAGAUAGAUGACUAAUUAAUUACAUAAAUAGAGUGAAUAAAAAUUAUUGAAAAUAAAUAAGCAAUAAACUGUUAAUAAUAUAUAGUGCUCCUAAAAAAAAAAACAAAAAAAAAAAAAACGCAGAGACAAAAAAAUGACUAAAAUCAAUAUUAAAAAUGAGAAAAACAUGUAUUUAAUGGAUACAUUCAAAUUAUAUAACCCAGAUAGAGAAAAUACCGUAUCAAUUGUUAACGAAAAUGAUUAUGAAUGUCUACCACACUCCAUUUAUGUAGAUCGAAGAAAUGUUGAUAUAUUUAAUGUUGAUGUGGCAAAGUAUCAAAAGAGCGAAUACAAAAGAAUUUUUAAUUUAAAUUCACCACAAGUUAUAAACGAACCAAAAUUUGCUGCAGAACCAUCAUACGUCGAAAAAUCAUCAGAUACUGAAAGUGUAAAAAAUGAAAGUGACGAUGACAAUUUAUUGGUUCCAAAAAUAUACUUAAUUUUGAGUUUUUUUUUACCCUUUAUAGGUUUGUUUAAAAAAAAAAUAAUAAUUGAAUAUGUGCGUUAUGUACACACAUUGUUUUGCGUUGUAUAUACAUAUAUAUAUAUAUAUCUACUAUUUAUGUGUUGUGUAAGUACUACAAAUGUGACGUACACAUGUAUAUAAUUUUUUUUUUUUUUUAAUAUACAUUUAU